This 587-nucleotide ribosomal RNA is filed under the name uncultured bacterium. RNAcentral's name for it is "bacterial SSU rRNA". It matches the Rfam family "Bacterial small subunit ribosomal RNA", at positions 338 to 916 of the family's 1533-position model. The record is from RNAcentral.
CCUACGGGAGGCAGCAGUGGGGAAUAUUGGACAAUGGGCGCAAGCCUGAUCCAGCCAUACCGCGUGGGUGAAGAAGGCCUUCGGGUUGUAAAGCCCUUUUGUUGGGAAAGAAAUCCUGUCGGUUAAUACCCGGUAGGUAUGACGGUACCCAAAGAAUAAGCACCGGCUAACUUCGUGCCAGCAGCCGCGGUAAUACGAAGGGUGCAAGCGUUACUCGGAAUUACUGGGCGUAAAGCGUGCGUAGGUGGUUCGUUAAGUCUGAUGUGAAAGCCCCGGGCUCAACCUGGGAAUUGCAUUGGAUACUGGCGGGCUAGAGUGCGGUAGAGGAUGGCGGAAUUCCCGGUGUAGCAGUGAAAUGCGUAGAGAUCGGGAGGAACAUCUGUGGCGAAGGCGGCCAUCUGGACCAGCACUGACACUGAGGCACGAAAGCGUGGGGAGCAAACAGGAUUAGAUACCCUGGUAGUCCACGCCCUAAACGAUGCGAACUGGAUGUUGGGUGCAAUUUGGCACUCAGUAUCGAAGCUAACGCGUUAAGUUCGCCGCCUGGGGAGUACGGUCGCAAGACUGAAACUCAAAGGAAUUGACGG